Long non-coding RNA from Prionailurus viverrinus (fishing cat), 1519 nucleotides. RefSeq lists it as uncharacterized. The record is from RefSeq and is a predicted model, not a curated record. Lineage: Eukaryota; Metazoa; Chordata; Mammalia; Carnivora; Felidae. The transcript is spliced from 2 exons.
AAGAAAGAAAGAAAGAGAGAGAGAAAGGAACAGUGAAUACCCACAGGAGGUGGUCUGUGAUAGAUUGUGUUAUUGUUUCCAAUAUUGAUUUCCCUCUCCUGUUAGGGGCAGGGUGGAUUUUCCUGCCCCACUGCUGUUGGGCUAGUCUGUGUGACUGUUUUUGACCAAUGGGAUAUGAGCCAAUGAGACACAGGCUCUAUCCGAACAGGAGCUUCAAAUGUGAUGCCUCUUAUUCUUAGUCUCUGCCAUGAAAAUGAGCAUCCCCCGAAGAGGGACUUAGCCUUUACCUGAGGCCCUUGAAUGAGAGGACAUGCAGAGCAGAGCUGAGCAGCCCUGUCUAUCCUGAAAACACAGACAUGUGAGUGAGGAUAAUGUUUGCUCUUGCAAGCCCCCGGGAUGUUGGUUCGUUUACCUCACAGCGAGCUGACUGAUGUAGGACAUGAGCCCUUGUCUGGCACUCCCUUUGCGGUUUUGUUCAAGGGAGAUAGUACACACACAUAUAUUAAUUUGUUUUUGAAAAAAACAAUUAUUUUAACUAUAGCAUUCCAAAAAAAAAAAUCUUAGCCUCUAUGCCAAGUACAAUGAGAUGUAAUUUUUCUUAUUAUAAUGAAGCAAACACCUGCUCACGUUGAGACCUCCAGCUCAGUCUAUUUCCAAUUGAAAAGCAUUUCAUAAAAGAAUGAAAGGUCACUGAGUUACUUUCGUUGGACUCUAUGAUGUAUCUGUAGUGAAAUAAUGAGUUAGGUCAAACCAUUUGUAAUGUGUUCCCUAAGAGUGAGCCGGACACUUUGGAAAGCUACAUAUGGAUUAUCGACGUAAAGUGUACCACUGAGAAAUGUGUCUUUAUAUUUCUCAGUUCAACAUGUAGCCAGUGACCCUUCACCUGGGCGCUGUGUCGCAUUAGCAUGUAAAAUCAUUCAGGGCUACACCCCAUGUGAUAUACUAGUUGUGACGUAACAUUCGCGAACAAUUUUCUUCUGUUAUGAAUCAGAGCCAAGUCAAGAUUGUCCGUGUGAUAACCACAGGCUUGCUUUCAUCAAAACAUGUGUGAGAGAGUCAUGGGUGGAGUUACAUGUAGCACCCCAGUCGCCUCUCAAAAUCUCACGUUGACUGGGUUGCGUUUCAGGCCAAAACAGAAGCUGCACUUGGAAACGUGUUCCACGGAGGAACCUCAUCUGUUAUGUGAAGGUGUAGCAGGGGAAGGUUGAAAUCUCCCACAAUUCCCGCAAGAACUGAUGUGGCUUCUAACGGAGGUAAAUCAAAGAUCGGAGGUGGUGUGCCAAGGAGCAGUGGGGCCUCUGAUCUUCGAGUUUGGAAAUAGGGGACAUUUGGAACUAUCUGGAGACAUUCUUGGUCGUCACAACUGGUGGCAGCGGUGUGUGAACCACAGAGAUCAGAGAUAUUGCUACAAAUCCAGCGGUGCACUGGACAGCCCCUCACAAAAAAGAAUUUGGUCCAGAAGGUCAAUAGUGCUAAAGUUGACUAACCUUACUUUAUAAUAAAGAUUCACAUAAAGAUA